Molecule: long non-coding RNA, 374 nt
Filed under: Nicotiana benthamiana
Lineage: Eukaryota; Viridiplantae; Streptophyta; Magnoliopsida; Solanales; Solanaceae
Description: long non-coding RNA (NBEN_LNC003824)
Source: RNAcentral
UGGCCUCAUCAUACUUCUGAACCCUGUAAUGCAACUCCCCAAGAUUUAUAUAUCCCUUUGCCUCCCCUUGACAGUGGCCUAUCCUAUGACAAAUAAGAAUAUCUUUCUCAAUAUGUUCUCGUGCUUUAUUCCAUUUUCUUAGCUCAGUGUAGACGUUUCCAAGGUUAUGAUGGAGCCUGCUGCGGCCGUCAUCAUCCUCACAUACUUCUUCUUCUUCACAGAUUUUAGACGUUUCCAAGGUUAUGAUGGAGCCUGCUGCGCCCGUCAUCAUCCUCACUUACUUCUUCUUCAUCACAGAUUUCUAAUCCUUCACUGAGAACUUUUUCAGCUUCCUCCAAGUUAUCAAGAUCAACUUCAAGCAUACCAAUGUUGUU